GACGAACGCUGGCGGCGUGCCUAAUACAUGCAAGUCGUGCGGACCUUGUUGAAAGCUUGCUUUUCAAAGGUUAGCGGCGGACGGGUGAGUAACACGUGGGCAACCUGCCUGUAAGACUGGGAUAACGCCGGGAAACCGGGGCUAAUACCAGAUCGUUUUUUCCUCCGCAUGGAGGAAAAAGGAAAGGCGGCUUCGGCUGCCACUUACAGAUGGGCCCGCGGCGCAUUAGCUAGUUGGCGGGGUAAUGGCCCACCAAGGCAACGAUGCGUAGCCGACCUGAGAGGGUGAUCGGCCACAUUGGGACUGAGACACGGCCCAAACUCCUACGGGAGGCAGCAGUAGGGAAUCUUCCGCAAUGGACGAAAGUCUGACGGAGCAACGCCGCGUGAGUGAAGAAGGCCUUCGGGUCGUAAAACUCUGUUGCCGGGGAAGAACAAGUGCCGUUCGAACAGGGCGGCGCCUUGACGGUACCAGGCCAGAAAGCCACGGCUAACUACGUG
This 500-nucleotide ribosomal RNA is filed under the name uncultured bacterium. Its description in RNAcentral is "partial 16S ribosomal RNA". It matches the Rfam family "Bacterial small subunit ribosomal RNA", at positions 28 to 507 of the family's 1533-position model. The record is from RNAcentral.